GAGUGUGGAACCGGUGAGAUUAAAAUACGAAAGAGGAGCAGCCGUGUACAAUCGCCCGUACACUUCCCGCUUACCUGCUCCCCUUCCGCUCACGCAAGCACAUACGCCCUGCCAAAAGCUGACAAGAAGAUAGGACGCAUAGCAGAACUCCCUCCCGCUCGCUCGCCGUGGCAACGUUGUCUGUCUCUCUCGCUCUGUUAUUUUUUUCUUGUCGCUGCGAUUUGUGUGCUUGCCCACAUCUUUAUUGCUGUGUGCGUCACCAGCCGGCUCUUGUGUAGGAGCCGCACGUCCCUUUUCUCUCGUCGUCGUCGUCCUUCCGAUAACCGCUCUCACGGCGCACUCACGUCGACGCCCCAGGCCGGGCAAUCGCGCUUUUUUUUGCUUUUCGCCUGUCGAGCGUGUCCGAAGUCCGGCACGCAAGCAAGAUGGCGGAAAGCAUUCCGAUCAAGGUGCUCUUUGAUGCACUGCACCUGAAGGUUUCCAUAGAAGUCGCUACCGGGGAGGUGUACCAUGGCACCGUAGAAGAGUUGCAGAACAACAUGAAUGUGCUACUGAAAGAUGCCACCAAGACUGCACGGGGCGGUAAGGAGACCAAGAUGGACUCCGUCUUUGUACGAGGCUCAAACAUCGUCUUCUUCCAGUUGCCCGAUGCGCUGCAGACCAGUCCUGCGUUGCUCCGCGCAGGCGAGGUCGUGUCCAAGGCAAAGGACACGCGUGGCGACGGCAAGGGAUUUGGCGCGUCUCGCAAGCGUGCUCGCAACUCAUAGGACCAUAUCGCACACGAGGCAACGCCGGUUCUGCGCUAACAUCCCUUCCCCGACGUUCCUGACAAAGGGGGCCUUAAUCCUCUCCCGGUCCUGCAGCGUGGCGUGCAGCGAGCACGUCUUUAUCGCUUCCUUUGUGUGCCUGUGCCUGUGUCGGUGGCGUAGAUGUAUGUGCUGUGGUCCGAUUGUGCCCUCGCUUCAAUAGCGGGACGCGGUCGGAGUCUUCUGUGUCUUCGUAAAAAGGAAGAACGCAACAAGAAAAGGGGGCGAAGCGUACGCGAAGGCAAGGCGCGACAGCCACACGCAAAGGUGUUUGAAGCGGCGCCAGGAUGCGGAGAGCGGUGAGUUGUCGUCUGUGGUGGUUGAGGCGGUUGCUGUCUUGGCAUUGAAAAACGUCCUUCACCUCGUGUGGCUUUCUCUGGGACAGACAGAGAAAAGGUCUGGGCCCCCUACUCUGCGCCAAAUGCAGCUGGCAAGCGAGUUUUGCAGCUCUCGCUGCCGUCGCCGAUAG
RNAcentral lists this unclassified non-coding RNA (1275 nucleotides) under Leishmania donovani. Its description in RNAcentral is "gene:LdHU3.34.5920(CDS-product:small_nuclear_ribo nucleoprotein_putative)". Lineage: Eukaryota; Euglenozoa; Kinetoplastea; Trypanosomatida; Trypanosomatidae. The record is from RNAcentral.